AGAGUUUGAUCCUGGCUCAGGAUGAACGCUGGCGGCGUGCCUAAUACAUGCAAGUCGAACGAGGCCCUUUGUAUUCGUACGAAGGUGUCCUAGUGGCGAACGGGUGAGUAACACGUAGGUGACCUGCCCCGAAGCGGGGGACAACUCCGGGAAACUGGAGCUAAUACCCCAUGUUUUCCAUGGUGUUAGAGGACCAUGGAGCAAAGGAGCAAUCCACUUUGGGAGGGGCCUGCGGCCCAUCAGCUAGUUGGUAGGGUAAUGGCCUACCAAGGCUAUGACGGGUAGGGGACCUGAGAGGGUGGUCCCCCACACUGGAACUGAAACACGGACCAGACACCUACGGGUGGCAGCAGUAGGGAAUUUUGCACAAUGGGCGAAAGCCUGAUGCAGCAACGCCGCGUGCGCGAUGAAGGCCUUCGGGUUGUAAAGCGCUUUUCUGGGGGAAGAGGAAGGACGGUACCCCAGGAAUAAGUCUCGGCUAACUACGUGCCAGCAGCCGCGGUAAAACGUAGGAGGCGAGCGUUAUCCGGAUUUACUGGGCGUAAAGCGCGUGUAGGCGGUUAGGUAAGUCGGACGUGAAAGCUCCCGGCUCAACUGGGAGAGGCCGUUCGAAACUACCUGACUUGAGGGCAGUAGAGGGAGGUGGAAUUCAGGGUGUAGCGGUGAAAUGCGUAGAUAUCCUGAGGAACACCAGUGGCGAAGGCGGCCUCCUGGGCUGACCCUGACGCUCAGACGCGAAAGCUAGGGUAGCAAACGGGAUUAGACACCCCGGUAGUCCUAGCUGUAAACGAUGCAGACUUGGUGUUGGCAGUUUAAACACUGUCAGUGCCGUAGCUAACGCGAUAAGUCUGCCGCCUGGGGACUACGACCGCAAGGUUAAAACUCAAAGGAAUUGACGGGGGCCCGCACAAGCAGCGGAGCGUGUGGUUUAAUUCGAGGCUACGCGAAGAACCUUACCUGGGUUUGACA
Molecule: ribosomal RNA, 969 nt
Filed under: marine sediment metagenome
Description: bacterial SSU rRNA
Rfam family: Bacterial small subunit ribosomal RNA
Source: RNAcentral